AUGAGGAAAUAAAUAUAGUACAUGACAUUCAGGUAACUUGACAAGACAGAUCGUGAUAGUGGUUUUGCGUAGACACUGAUGAAAGUGAGCGGAGUCCAGCUGGGGCCCAAGAUACUCAAAGCCCUCAAAGUCUUCAGUUUCUGAGUUAAAGGUUUAUCUGCUCCCUUUACUGUGAAACUUGGAGGACCCAAGGGGAAUUCAUGCUGCUGCCUGUUAUAGCUAUUUUAAAUUUGCUGGUACUUUAACCUUUACAGGUUACUUUACAUUGUUCAUGACUUUAAAAGUUUUAUGCUAAUUUCUUUAAGGGUUUAUCACAUCAAAGUUUACUUUUAUUUUUUAUUUACUCUAAUUUUUUUAAAUUUGGCUGUACCACUUAAAUUAAGAACCAGAGAUCUUAGUUCCCUGGCCGUGAAAGGGCAGAGUCCUGACCAUUGGAGUACCAGUCCCUAUUUCUCUUUAUUAAGAAGAAAACCUGUCAAUCUCAACAGUCACUGGAAGUAUACUGCUGUCUUGACUAGUUCUGGUAAAUGGUGAAAACCCACAGGACAACACGUAUAACAUCAGACAGGGUCCCUCCUGUCGUGCUCCUUAAGUUUCUAUGAUGGCAAGAUUCUCAGGACUUCCUGCUUUGUAAAACCUAAUUCCUGCUCACAAUCCAGUUUUCCUUAUUGUCUGUAGCAAAAUUCAAAAAUAAUUAAAUGUUAACAGUGUUAGGAUACUGGUUGUGGAUGACAUUUUAAAAGCUUAUAAAAGUCAUUUCCUUCAGUUCCUUCUAAGCAAAGUUCUAACUUCAGUCAAGAUCCAUAUCAUAACCUGAGUUUCAUCUAUUACUAGCUGUUUGACCAUGGACAGAUGAGCCUAAAUCUUAUCAUCUGUAAAGCACGAUAAUGAAAUGACUAAUUUGAAAGGUUUUUAAAAAUAUACACCACGGGGCUUCUCUGCUGGACUAGUGGUAAAGAAUCCACCUUCCAACCCAGGGGAUACGGGUUUGAUCCCUGAUCCUGGAAUAUCCCAGAGCAGCUCUGCCUGUGCACCACAGCUACUGAGCCCACAUGCUCCAGAGCCUGUAACGAGAGAAGCCACUGUAAUGAGAAGCCUGCUCAUUGCAACUAGUGAGAAGCCCCCUCUCGCUGUGUAACUAGAGAAAGCCCGGGGUCAGCAACAAAGAACCCAACACAGCCAAAAAACAAAAACGACUACGGAAAGUACACGGCACACAAGGUUUAACACACGUUCUGACCAUGUUUCACUGUCCAGGUCUGUUGUGCAAAGGGGAUGGGAAGGUAUCAUGGAUGUAGUGAAUGAAGGGAAAAAAGGCAAGGUGGCUCUGGAAUUCAGGACCAAUACACAGGCAUAAGAGGGCUGUUGUCCUCUGCCUAACAGAUAAGCUGGCUUAUGCCAUGCUGUCCAGCUUGAAAUAAUCUGAUCAGUGUAGCCACAGUGGUUGGCUUUAAAAUAGCAUCUAGGUUAGCGAGUGCCACUGAGGGCCAGGACAAUAGAUGUUUGAAUGGAAAAAUACUUGAUUUGAAGUUACCUGUCACCCACAUGAAGAAGCGACAUGUGGUUCAGAAGCUGGGCACUCUGACGUACGCUUUAUGCCAACGUGCAUUCUGAAUGGGUGGGAGAAAAGUCUCACAGGGAUGAAAGAUUAGUCUUCCCUGGUCUUUCACCUUUAUUUAAAAUCAAAAGAGUGACUCCCCUGGUGGCCCAGUGGCUAAGAUGCCACACUUCCAUUGCAGUAAGACACAGGCUCAAUCCCUGGUCCAGGAAGAUCCCACAUGCUGAGGAGCAACUAAGCCCGUGGGCCACCUCUGCAACUUCUGAAGCCUGCUCACCUCGAGCCAAUGUUUGAGAAGCCCACGUACAACUAGAGAGUAUAAGCCACCACAGUGAGAAGCCCACGUACAACUAGAGAGUAUAUCCCACUCGCCACAACUAGGCAAAGUUGUUGUUCUGUGCAACAAAGAAGACCCAGUGAAGGAAGGAAAUAGGACUAGUCAAGUAAGGCACAGGAGUGACAUAUCACAGUGAAAUUUUAGACUAGAUCCAUGUGGGCCACAGAGAAACCUAUGGUGAAACUCAUCCUGUACCUCCAGUGGGCUUCAAAACUUCACCAGUAUUUUACAGCUUCCAGUUCCGUCCAGGAUGAAUGGCAUUUGCUUGGACCAAAAAGAUGAAUGGAGCUUCAAACCCUAAGGACCCAUGUCAGUGAUGUGAAUGGAGUCUCACUCACUCAGGCAUUGGCCCUGGCCUUCAGUGUUAGAAACGAUGGGAAAUGCUGUUAAGCGGCCCGUGAUGUCUCCCGAGCUCGAUCCUCUAAUGAAAAGUAAAGAAUCUGAAGACGAACAAGUCAAUUACACGUUUUUUUAAACAGCAAUGAAUCCUCAUUACAGAGAACAGCAAACAAAAGAUCUGUGGCACAUUAUCUUUGGAAAGAUCUUUUGCAAAUUUUU
Molecule: long non-coding RNA, 2453 nt
Organism: Bos taurus (domestic cattle)
Lineage: Eukaryota; Metazoa; Chordata; Mammalia; Artiodactyla; Bovidae
Source: Ensembl